GAGAGAGAGAGAGAGAGAGAGAGAGAGAGAGAGAGAGAUCCCGCCGCCUUCCAGACACUGCUCCUCCUCUCCAGCAAAGAAGAGGGGUAAUUUCGCCCCUCAUAUAGCUACGCAUCGAUCCGCCGUCGUUUAUUUAUGUUGAUGGGUAGAAAGAAAGAAAGAAAGAAAGAAAGAAAGAAAGAAAGAAAGAAAGAAAGAAAGAAAGAAAGAAAGAAAGAAAGAGAAGCGCCCUGCUUCCGAGCUUGCUCAAUUGCUCAAACCAAGCCCCAGAAAAAAAAUCCGUGGUUUCGACGACCAGAAAGCUGAGUCGGGGGAGAGCGCCUGAGGACAAGCAAAAGCCGAGAGAAGAGCCUCCCCCCUCCAGCUUCCUCUCCCCCCCCCCAGGAUACUUGAAUUCAAGCCCUACAGUAGAAACAAACUGGAGAGGAGAAAGGAGAAGAAGCGGCGCGGAGGACGAAGCAGCGGGUCAGCCAUUCGCCUCAAUUUCGGCAGCUGAGGCGGGAGAACCCUCUCCGCGUGCGGAAAAAGGAAAAAAGGGAGGGGGGGGGACUGAAAGCAGAAUUGCGAAGACCGGGAGAGAAGCGGACAAUUAAGAAGGGGAGGGGGGACCGCAGCGGCGGCGGCAGCAGCAGCAACAGCUUUGGAGGGAGAGAAGACAGCUUCCUGAGGUCCCUGCCACCCCCAGCGGGUACUCUCCGCACCCCGUUUUCCGCGAAGCCUGCGGCAGAAGCGAGGGUGCAACCCAGCGGCUAGAAGGGGAGAAAGGAAGGGAGCGAGCGAGCCGAAGCAACUCCCCCCUCCCCCCAGCAACUCCUCAUCGAGACCAGAGAGGCGGAGAAGCCCACCCCGGCCUGGCUUGGCGCACCAGCUUGGAUCCUUCUUGUUCCGCUCUUUUUCCUCCGCCCUCCGUCCCUUCCACCUUCCCGCGCCUUUUCUUCUCCCCCCCCCCCCGUUUGGCUUAAGCCCUUCGUGUUCACAGCGGACCUUGAUUUAAUUUCGAUACAAUUAAGGCACGCGGUGAAUGCCAAGAGAGAAGCCACGUCCAGCCUCCCCUCGCUCGGGUCCUCGAAAGGUGCGGUGCGGUCCAGAGCCACGGAAGGAAGAGGUUGGGCGGCCGCGGAUCAAUUUCUUCCUCGGCUGCAUCCAGCCCGGGACACGGAUGAUCAAAGACAGAUUUGCUCGCUUGUUUUUUGUUCUUUUUAAAGGUCCUCGGGCAUGCUGAAGACAAGGAGAGAAAGCAGAAACCCCUUUUCCCCUAAAGCCUCUGACAGAGAGAAGGAAGGCCCGUAGACGCAGCAUCUUGGGAUCGUGUGAGUAAAACCUACUAGCUUCUUUCUGCUUUGCCUAGACCCUGCGCCGGAGCACCCUGUUUUUACCACGCGAGGCCAGGAACUAGGGCUGCUGCUGCUGCUGCCGCUGUCGCUGUCCCUCGCCCUCCCCCGCUGUGCCCAUCUCCUGGGCUACUUUCUGCAGGAAGGGGGAGGAGCCGACAUCCCACUUCUCCCCACCCCACUCCCCCCCCCACCCCCGCGGUCUUCGCCAUCUGCCUCGGAGACCUUUUGCCUUCUCAAGGACAGAAGGCUGGAGGAGAGGGGGAGACAGCAGGAAAAUAGAAUUCGCUGACGGGUGGGUAUAAGAAGGAGCCGGGAGGAGGAGGAGGAGCAGAGAGGGAGGAAGGCAAAAUCUCGGAUUUGGGUCUCCGGUUUAAUAGGGAUGCUAAAGCAUUCUGCAGCCUGCCUGGCCUAUUUUUUCUCCCUCCACAACUUUCCCCAGUUCUUGUUUCACAGCCCUUCUAGGCACUGGGACCCCAGUUAUGCUAAGGCUGGCGUUUUUCUCUCCACCCAGGGGUGUGUGUGUAUAUGUGUGCGUAAGUGCAUGCACGCUUGUGUUGUCUGUUCAUAUCCAGCACAGAGGAUCCCACUCCCAACCAUCAGAGCUGAGGUUUUCCACUGGCUGUUGUGCAAAGCCAUAGGUGAGGCUCAUCAGGGCUUACUCCCAAGUAGCUGUGUGUAAGAUUGCAGCUUAGGCACUCUGGAUGGAGUUCAGGCAGGCUUCCCAUUUUUUUCUGUACUUGACACAGAACUAUAAGGAAGGAACCUGCCUAGGAGAGAAAUUCGGCUUUAAAAAACCCAAAUAUUUACUGGCUUGAAGGAUACACACUCAGAAGGAUGUGGUAUGUGCACUAGGACAGCUACACAGCACAGCAUCGCUGCCACCUCCCAAGCAGAUGAUAGCAGGAAACUCAGCAUAGCGCCAUCUUAAAUAGCUCUUUCUUUAAAUCUUUAUUGCUCACUCCUGAUGUCAUUGUGCGCAUUUUGAAUAUUUAAAAUUUGGGGCAUCUCUGUCCAGAUUUGAGAUGUGAGAGAAGAAAAACCCCAUUAGUAGUAUAUUAUGAGUCUUUUAUAGAUACUUUAAUCUUUUUUUUUUUAGACACAUCCAACAGAGUGAUCUAAAAGGGAUUUAUUACAUUAGGAACUAUACUACUUGCAGCAAUAGCUUUUGUAACCGGAAUCAUCAAAUCUGCACUUACAGUUUAUAAUUAAUAAGGAAGUCUUAUUUUAUCAAACCAAGGCAAGGUUCUUGCUCCUGGUUCCUUGUUUAUAAUCUGUAUUAUACCCCUUAAUGAAAGUAGAAACAGAAUCAUAGUCUCUGCAUAUUUAUUUGGAAAUAAGACCCAUUUAAUUCUGACAGGGUUCAUAUACUAAAGCAUGGUUUGUGUGACAUUGUGUUCAACAAUUUGCUGAACACACCAUAAACAGUUUGGUUCAUAUAACACAUGCACACACACAUCAAGGUGUUGUGUGAACAAGGAGAUUGUGAGAAAAUAUGCAGAGCCUGAGUUUUCAAAGCAGAUCAGGGUUUAGGGAUUCUAAUUAGUGUGUUGAUUAUCCGUAAGCAUUAACUUCGCAUUUUAAUCUUCCAGAAAUUAAAAGACAGCUGCAUUUCUAUGUGUUGAUGGCUCAAAAGACAGCGAUGUAUGUGUGUCACGAUAUACUCGGUUGUGUAGUCUUUUCUUUGAAAUCCAAAAUGCUUUCUGAAUUUUUAUAUUGUAACCUUGUAAGGCUUUCUGGAAGUCCUUUGUAGAUGAGAGUGUUUGAGUCAUCUUUUAAAGAUAGGACUGUCCUUGUUCAUACACAACCCUCACAGUUCCAUAUAGGAGAAAUAGAAUAAUGAAGAAGGGAGGAAAUAUUGAUUUUGGAAGCCCUUUUCCUUUGCAUUGCCCCCCCCCCUUUUUUUUUCUACAGAUGGAUCUUGGCCUCUAAACAAGUCACCUUUGAAAGAAAAUGGCACAGACAAGAUCUAGGUCUUGACGCUGCUUCUUUUUGAAGUGCUUGAUCAUUUGGGAUCUUUUCAGAAUUGCUAGCAGAGCCUAAAGGGAUAUAUGUUGUGCCACUGCUGGGGAAAUCAGUCAAUUAAGCCAUUGUAGCAUGCAUCAAAUUAUCCGCAUGAUUGGAGAUGGAAUAACCAUCUUGAUAGGCUUUCUAAAGACAGGACUGCAACCCUACCCAUAUACAAUCUAUGUGAAAGGCUAAUCUUCAGUGGGUUUUAUAGGGGUGUUUUUCCAGACAAGGAAAAAAAGGGGGAGAAACCCACCUUGGUAUUGAGAGGGCAUUGUACUGCUUGCUCUUCAUUAAAUUGUAGCUGCAAUCUCAAGUCAGGGAUGCCACUUAGCAGAAUUGUGGGUUCACAAAUGCAGUAGGGAGGGGGUGGUUCACCACAAUGUAAACCAAGUAAAAGGAUGCAUGUUAUCCCUUACACUCCUCCCCCAGUUAAACUGCAGUGUUCAGAAUAAAAAAUGACUCAACUGCACCACUGUUCUCCAAGGCCAGUUCUUCUUUCAAAAGAAGUUAGCAAAUGUCUAUUGCUAAUAUUUUUAUCUUAUGCACGUAUGUCAUAAAGGAUGGGGCUCUUUUUCAAUGAAUAAGGUUUUGAAUAAUGUGUCCUUCUGCCAGUAUGGAAGGUCUUUUGCUAGUAACUAAAAUUGCUAAAGCUGAGGAUUGAUUUAGGUCAAUCAAUCAGCUAUACUUUCCAUUCCUGAAUAUUAUUAUUCAAUCCAGCAGAAGGAUCUGGGGGGGGGGUCAAAAACAACCUCAUAAAUGUAAAACCCAUCCAUCUCCUCCCUCACCCAAAUCUCAUCUCACUUCUUGAGAUGUUGGCAAAUUCAUCCAAGGAUCUCAGGAGAUAACAAGGCUAAAAAUGCAUGAAAAUGUGUGAAAACCAGGCCAUUUUUAAUUUUAAAAAAAUAAUAAUUUGAGGAUUUUGUAUGCACCAUUUUGGGUAGCAGUGAUAGAUGUGCUGGUACUUGUAGGCAUUCUGCCAAUUCCUAAUUUAGCCUGACUGUUAGUAAGUAGCUCAGAAAUAUCACAUACUCUGCCUCCCUUAAAGUGGGUAACUCUAGAGGUAAAAGAGAAAUUGUACUUUUUAAUGCCUCAUUGUUAAUUCUCUGCUCUUGGAAAGGUGGCAAAGCCUAGUUUUCUUCAUGAAGUGUCAAUUUUGAUGGGUUUUUUUUAUUGUUUGUUUCUGAUGUGUUUCCAAAUAUUUAGCAAUGUCAAGUGUAUACCGCUAUCUCCUGUGCUGGUACAGUCCGUUGCAGAAUGGUGCUGCUCUUAUUGCGCAAGGCACAAUAAAUAAAUUCACUCCGAAGGGAUCAGAGAGCAGCACCAUUGGGCGUCUCUUGCUGAUAUGACCAUAUAAGUGCACAGCAGUGGUCUCUGGUUGAAACCAUCUUGUUUCAUAUACCCGAGUUAAGUCCAUUUAUGCCUUUACUGACCUGGGACGGUGCAGACAACUUUGCCUGUCUUUUGUUUUAAGCCUAAAAACAGUUUUGGUUUUAACCAGUAUA
Long non-coding RNA from Crotalus tigris (Tiger rattlesnake), 4843 nucleotides. RefSeq lists it as uncharacterized. Lineage: Eukaryota; Metazoa; Chordata; Lepidosauria; Squamata; Viperidae. The record is from RefSeq and is a predicted model, not a curated record. The transcript is spliced from 2 exons.